UUGAGAUUAAAGGCAUGCGCCACCUUGUU
RNAcentral lists this non-coding RNA (29 nucleotides) under Mus musculus (house mouse). Lineage: Eukaryota; Metazoa; Chordata; Mammalia; Rodentia; Muridae. The record is from RNAcentral.